CCUACGGGGGGCUGCAGUGGGGAAUAUUGGACAAUGGGGGGAACCCUGGUCCAGCCAUGCCGCGUGUGUGAAGAAGGCCCUCGGGUUGUAAAGCACUUUCAGUGAGGAAGAACGCCUGGUGGUUAAUACCCAUCAGGAAAGACAUCACUCACAGAAGAAGCACCGGCUAACUCCGUGCCAGCAGCCGCGGUAAUACGGAGGGUGCGAGCGUUAAUCGGAAUUACUGGGCGUAAAGCGCGCGUAGGUGGCUUGAUAAGCCGGUUGUGAAAGCCCCGGGCUCAACCUGGGAACGGCAUCCGGAACUGUCAAGCUAGAGUGCAGGAGAGGAAGGUAGAAUUCCCGGUGUAGCGGUGAAAUGCGUAGAGAUCGGGAGGAAUACCAGUGGCGAAGGCGGCCUUCUGGACUGACACUGACACUGAGGUGCGAAAGCGUGGGUAGCAAACAGGAUUAGAUACCCGAGUAGUC
Molecule: ribosomal RNA, 465 nt
Filed under: Vreelandella stevensii
Lineage: Bacteria; Pseudomonadati; Pseudomonadota; Gammaproteobacteria; Oceanospirillales; Halomonadaceae
Description: partial 16S ribosomal RNA
Rfam family: Bacterial small subunit ribosomal RNA
Source: RNAcentral